UACGAACUGUGCGAACGUUAUUCGGAAUCACUGGGCUUACAGGGUGCGUAGGCGGCCCAACAAGUCAGGUGUGAAAGCCCUCGGCUCAACCGAGGAACUGCGCUUGAAACUGUUAGGCUCGAGUCAGCUAGAGGUACACGGAACUUCCAGUGGAGCGGUGAAAUGUGUUGAUAUUGGAAGGAACACCGGAGGCGAAAGCGGUGUACUGGGGCUGGUCUGACGCUGAGGCACGAAAGCCAGGGGAGCGAACGGG
Molecule: ribosomal RNA, 253 nt
Filed under: uncultured bacterium
Lineage: Bacteria
Description: partial 16S ribosomal RNA
Rfam family: Bacterial small subunit ribosomal RNA
Source: RNAcentral